This is a long non-coding RNA of Mirounga angustirostris (Northern elephant seal), 1140 nucleotides long. RefSeq lists it as uncharacterized. The record is from RefSeq and is a predicted model, not a curated record. Lineage: Eukaryota; Metazoa; Chordata; Mammalia; Carnivora; Phocidae. The transcript has 3 exons.
ACCUUAGGCUUUUAGCCCAGCUGCCAAGAGCAAAUGUUGUUCUCUUGCGAUACCUUUUUGGAGUGCUAUACAACAUUGAGCAACAUUCGUCAUCCAAUCAGAUGAAAGCUUAUAAUUUAUCCGUUUGUAUAGCCCCAUGCGUUCUUUACCCACCUGAUUCCGAAAGCUUGGAAUUGGAAGACAACAUGAUAAAAAAGACUCCGGUCGGAAGACUGUGAAAAGCCAUUUUUUCAGAGACAGGGCCUUUUGGUGGGGCUCCGGCACUUCCCAGCACACCCAGUGCACAGCCCCACCUUCCGCAAAGCCAGGACAGCUCUUUGGAGUUUCCCUCAUGGAUGUGUGUGAUAAAGACAACUUGCCCUUCCCAAUUCUGGGUAUGCUUUCCUUUAUUAAUGAAAAAGGGCCCCUCACAGAAGGCAUAUUCAGAAACUCAGCCAAUAUAAAAUCCUGCCAUGUCCUAAAGGAAAAACUGAAUUCUGGGGUCAAAGUGAACCCAUACAGCGAAUCUGUUCAUGUGGUCGCAUCCGUCUUAAAGGUAGGGAAGGUUCUAGCAGUAUCUACACACGAGUAACUGAAGCUAUGACUGGUGUCCUUCAUCAAGACUGCUCAAGAACAAUAAUGGGCAUAAUAGAUUAAGAACCUGACAAGCUGAAAAACGCUUAACAAAAGCAAAAUUUAAGGAAGCGACUUUAGGAGUUAAGCCCCAUGUGUUAGAAAUACUUUCUCUUUUCACUACACACCGCCCUCCCCACCUUCACUCCUAAAGACUCCAUGCAAAAUACUAAUACUGAAAUGACUACUAGUCAUGAUAAUAAAUUUCAAAAUACGCACCGAUACAUACACAGUUUACCCAUGAAAACAUCCUCACCACCCUCCUAAUGAAGGCAAACUUUCCAAAAGAAAUACAACAGGGAAAGAAUUUAAUCCAUCCACCUUGGCACUUAUGAACAGCUCUGAACAACCCUAUGUUAACAUAGUAAUUACUACAGUCAUAGAAUGUCAGUCGCAUAUGGUCUUCCCUUGUCCCCCGUUAAUGUUCGAAGAUGUGAUCAAUAGCAAGGUCCAGAAAUGACUUAGGUAACCACUCCUACACUGGGGCCAUAGUGAUAUCCAGUAGUAAUAUACAUACAGGCAUCAGGA